Molecule: small RNA, 436 nt
Filed under: Histoplasma ohiense
Lineage: Eukaryota; Fungi; Ascomycota; Eurotiomycetes; Onygenales; Ajellomycetaceae
Description: hypothetical lncRNA
Source: RNAcentral
CACGUUUGACCCUGUUUAGACCAUCGACCCUCUUCUGAUAAUCAACAAUGCUUUCUCCUCGUGAUAAAAUAGCUAGGUGCCUACCUGCUUGAUAUCCGAUUGAUAUCUUCCAGCCCUCAAUUCAAGUAGUGAUUGGUAGCUAGCUAGUUGACUGCUUGUCCAUCCACUGUAUAUUCUCUCAUUCAAACUUCAGAUUCGCGCCAUUUACCGCCCUUAUGCACUGCACCCUCUAUUAUGGGGCUCUGAGGGCGUGGGCAUUCGGUUUAGAAAAUGUGGAAUUAACAGUUCAUUUGCCCCUGGGAUUUAGAGACGCGUUUGCCCACCCUCAUAUGGAGGGUUCUAGGGGGAGGUUGCUUCUAGUAUAAAACUGUAAUAUAAUUGGUGUAGCUACGGAAUAUGCAUGAAAAAUUGAAACAUGUGUGAAAAAUACAAGCCA